GAGUUUGAUCUUGGCUCAGGACGAACGCUGGCGGCGCGCUUAACACAUGCAAGUCGAACGUGAAGCCCGGGCUUGCCCGGGUGGAAAGUGGCGAACGGGUGCGUAACACGUGAGCAACCUGCCCCGAAGACCGGGAUAACACCGGGAAACCGGUGCUAAUACCGGAUGCCCUCAUCAUGUCGCAUGGCGAGAUGAGGAAAUGGAUUCCGCUUCGGGAUGGGCUCGCGGCCUAUCAGCUUGUUGGUGAGGUAACGGCUCACCAAGGCAACGACGGGUAGCUGGUCUGAGAGGAUGUCCAGCCACACUGGGACUGAGACACGGCCCAGACUCCUACGGGAGGCAGCAGUGGGGAAUCUUGCACAAUGGGCGAAAGCCUGAUGCAGCGACGCCGCGUGCGGGAUGAAGGCCUUCGGUUGU
Molecule: ribosomal RNA, 417 nt
Filed under: uncultured Actinomycetes bacterium
Lineage: Bacteria; Bacillati; Actinomycetota; Actinomycetes
Description: bacterial SSU rRNA
Rfam family: Bacterial small subunit ribosomal RNA
Source: RNAcentral